UACGGGGGGGGCAAGCGUUGUUCGGAAUUACUGGGCGUAAAGGGCGCGUAGGCGGUUCGCUAAGUCGGAUGUGAAAACUCUGGGCUCAACCCAGAGCCUGCAUCCGAAACUGGCGGGCUAGAGUUCUGGAGGGGGUAGCGGAAUUCCUGGUGUAGCGGUGAAAUGCGUAGAUAUCAGGAGGAACACCGGUGGCGAAGGCGGCUACCUGGGCAGAAACUGACGCUGAGGCGCGAAAGCUAGGGGAGCAAACAGG
RNAcentral lists this ribosomal RNA (253 nucleotides) under uncultured bacterium. RNAcentral's name for it is "partial 16S ribosomal RNA". It matches the Rfam family "Bacterial small subunit ribosomal RNA", at positions 524 to 776 of the family's 1533-position model. The record is from RNAcentral.